UCUGGGUAACAACUCGCAGACAAGCUAAGAAUAGAAAAGUCAACCACUGAAUUUCAUAUUUUGCUUUUCAUUUUUUUUCUUGGACAUGCUCACUAUGUCAAGCGGUUGCAUUUCCUGUGAGGUCAGGCACCAGACAAUAGCUUUCCAAGAGCAUGGAAACAACAGAAACCCAUGAAACAAUCCCACAUCCAGAAGCACGGAGCUGCUGGCACUCACUGAAAGGUUUCCUGACUAGGUCAGCAACAUGGCAGAGACUGCACUUGCUCAAAGCCUGAAGGACGUUGGGAGGUGGAGUGAAGAGGCCAUCCCGCUUCUCAGACACGCCAUUGAUGAUGAGCGAUCAGCUCUAGCAGAGACCACAUGUGAAGGUUUCUUGAGUAACACAGAGAAGUGGAGGAAAAUGGCAGAGCUCAUCCUAUGGCAGAGGUGGAAGAAGGAGCCCGGUGCCACGUGACCAGUGCCCUGGCUUGCAGAAGGAGUGUGAAACAAGUGAGUUAAGGUGGGAACGAGUACUUCUUUCUUUCUCCUCUUCCGCCAUGAAAUAGCAACUUCUAAAAAAGGGGUGCUGCAGAUGGUAAAGUCUUAAAUUACCACGGUGAGCUUUGCCGGAGGGCGUCUCUGGUCCCCUUAGAUGGAGCCCGUCUGCAGCUGAUUCACAGAAGGUCACGUUUGCCUGUCCUGCCCUACUCCUGAGCUUACUCAUGUAGUCAGCGCGGCUGACAGGGAUGAAAGAGCGGAACUGCUUGAACACAUUUGAUAUGGCUCUAGACAGGCAGACUGAUUUGCAAACUCAAAGCACAGGAGAGACUGAGAGCGAUUGCAGCGGAUUACUAAUUAGCUCGGAAACACAGAGGCGAGGCGUGAGGGAGGAACGUGGCUGCAGCUGAGUGGGGGAUAGUGAAUAAGCAUUUCCCACUCACUCUCUCCACAACAUCUGUGAUAUCGAAUCUAUCACCCCAGUCAUCUCUCUUUUAAAAUAAACAAACAAGCAAAAAUAGAGGCUGUUUGAUUCUCCAUGGAGAGAGCUGCUCCUCACAUAUUAUCACCCCAGUUGCUCUACUUAGUGCAUCCCCGAGUCCAGCAAUUCCACUGAGGAGCAGCAGCAUCACAACCGCAAGCAGAGCUCCAGAUGGCAGCUAUAUGAGGAUCUAUGAAAUGAAAGGUCAAUCUGAAAAGGAACAAACAGCGAGAACAGAGCAAAAGACUGUAGCUGGGAAACAGCCAGAGUCCUUUUCUUCUGCGUUCUCAUAGCUUAAUGCCUCCACUGGACUGCUUCCGAAGGAGCAGUCUUUCUGCAGGUGCAGUGUUGUAACAGCUGUGAAACAUUAGUCACCGUUUUAUCAGUGUUAAAACGUUCAAGACAAUGCUUCUAAGAGCACUAUCACUCAACAUACUAUCUAGUAAUUCUAUUGCAACAAGUCAGAAGAUUGAAUAAAACCUUCCAUUCAUGUUGCUCAUCUUGUUCUGUACCCGUGACUGGAGAUCAGCAAGUCUGAGUAAACCCCUUCCAGCUGUAAGCUCUGUGUGUUUAUACUGCAACAGUUCAGUAAAUCCAUUCAGCUUCCAGUAAGAAAUGUCUUUGUUUAUGGCUCUUUUACGAUACUCCCAAUCACCGUCAAAGGAUUCUACAGAAAUAUUUUUAAAAGAUUCAGUUCUGACUUAAUCAAUGCCAUUGUAGAUCAGGAAUAACUCCAUUAAGCUGAUAUGAUGUAAAAUCUAGUUUAUAUUUGCAUGCAGCAGUGAUGUGAGCCUUCUGAAAACUUAGGAGUUCAGAUACACUUAUGGCAAGUCCUGUGUAUGAUAAUUUACUUAAUGAACAUACUGAUGCCCAUGUUAUCUCAACUAAAUUGAGUAGUUGAGACUAAACUCUGAACCCCCUGAAAUCUUGACAAGUAUUGCCAUAGAUAUAGCUGACUCAGGAUUUCACAGAAUACAUAUUUAUUAGGGACUGCUGUUAAGAGAAUUCUCCCGUGUUUUAAAUCACUCUGCGGUGGUGAAUAAUUAAUACUCAGAAAAAGUUCAAUAUUUCUUUCUGCAAGUAGGCCAAGCCAGCAGCCUACUGGAUUUGAAGAUGCAGCUCAAAUAUGCAUAAUCUCCUAUUUCAACAGUAUCGCCUGCACUUGCAGCAGAGCACUGCACACUCACUCUCCCUUCCUUGCCUCCGUAGUUUCUUUACUGUGGAAAAGAGUUUACACCUAACAAUGACAUUAAAACAGGAGUUAGUUACUGUACGUGUUCGCACGCCAGAAGCAGCUGCUGUCAGUAUGAAAGGGGAAAGGAAGUGAGGAGAUCCUGCACUGCUCUGGAAAAUACAGGUGCUGAGAGGAAACUUUUAUCCAGAAGAGUUUGUCAAAGAUAAGGGCAUAGGAAAGGAGAAAAGCGAUGAAGAACACUUCAGAGAUAAAAACAUUAGCUCCAGCCCAAUCUCCAGUAAAUAAAUUUACAUCUCUAACUGCUGCUUAUGACUAUCCAGAGAGAGGUACCAUGUGAAUGGGAGGAGAGCAGAGCUAACCUCACCUCUGUGACUGUGAGCAGAGGUAAGCAUUAGUAUUCUCACUUCAGAUGAACUUCAUUUUCUGAACCUAAAUAAGGAACCUUUCCUUGCAGGAAGAUGCUUCUGUAAUCAGCCCUUCUCACGUAGGCCACCAACAGCUAGCUUACAUCAUUCAGGUUCAGAAUUAGUUUGUAGAGUUUUAUGUUUUGUAAAGUUACACUCUUAAGACACAGUAAAAACUCCAGUAAAAAACACUAACUGACUUUUUAUAGGACUGGAGAGUGCAAUUGUAGAGAACCUAGAUGUAAUUCAAGGAGACCACCGUUCUGCCUUAUAACUGAAAGGUCAUUUACUAGACUUUUAUCCUGUUUUAAGGCAGCUUUUAAUUGAUAUUUGUGUCUUGUUCAAGGCCCUGUCUCUCUGCUAUGCUAUAUUAUACACAGCAAUGUGAUGGCCUCUUUGGAACAAAUAACAAUUUUGAAAUAUAUGCUUUCAAGAUAAUUGGCCUUUUUGCUUUCACUUGUGGCUCAAACAAUGUACCAACCUGACUAUUUCAAAUAACAAACAUACGCUCUGUUUAAUGGGAUGGGAGACUAAUUACCUGUGAGAAAACAGAAAUGGCAGCCAGUCAUAGAAAUCUUUUCCAUUAUUGAAAAGCAUCAUAAAAUAUUAGUCAGCUUUUAGUGUGAUGGCUCAAUAGUGGAUAAAUGGGGAUGAAUGUGCCAGAAUUGGCUCACCCUGUCAAACUAGACUGUUCAGGCACUGAAUGAGACAAGUGACUGUGGUGAGCACCUGUGGGAGGGAGGUGUUCUAGUUGCAGAGAAGGUGUGAAAUAAUUUGAACAGCAACAAGAAAAAUAAUGAGUGAGAUUGCAUUAAAUUAAAUGGCAAUACAGUGAAUAUAAAAUUCCUAUAAUAUUUUUGCCCCUCAAGCCACAAGGUAUCAGGCCACUAAAAUGAAAUGCACUUUUUUUUCCCCCCCCCACACAAGGGUAUUGUCUAAGCUAUUUGAGGGACAGUAACUUAGAUCAACAUCACAAGAUUUAAACAUCCAAUUCACUUUCAAUGCUUUUAGAUCACAGAUUCCACAGGGCACAGUUUGGGGUACGUUUUAUUGUUACCUUAACAAGUUUGGCUGUAUAUACGCUACUUGCUUACUUUGCUGUGUUUUUCUGCUACGUAUAAAAAUCAAAACUAAAUUGCUCAAUUUCAUUUCCACGUUCUCAUUUGUUAAAGUACACUCACUGUUCAAGCUGGCAAUACUUCAGACAUUAGAAAGUCACAAAACCAGAUUUGAUUACUACGCAUGCAGAGGGAAGCUGGGGACAACCUGUGGUAUUUCUUACAGCCCAGGCCCCUCCUACUUUGUACACUCUGGUCCUUUCUCAUUGCAUUACCUUUGCAGGUCCAGGAACAAGUCUGGUUUCCUAGACAGAAAGGCCCUUUGCAACGUGGUGAACUGCCCUCACAAUGCUACUAACAGUGGCAUUUACUCUUCAUGUGGAUCUCAACUCUACCAGCAGCCUAUAACACCACAGCAAGUGACCUCCAAGGGGUCUACUGAGCCUCAUUGAGCAAUGAAAACAUGAUGACCUUGAUCAAAUAUCUCAGCUGUGGUGAACAUCAAAUAACAGAAAUUGCAAAGGUUGACAAUUAUUUGAGGGACAAAAAGUCUGGAGAUUUUGUAUCAGUAGAAUUCUAACGGCUUCAACAGAAUGCUCUUGAUUUAAGUUGGAAUAAUUGAAAAAUUAAUCACAUCUACAUAUCACCAGAAGAAAGGAGAAAUAAACCAUCUUGGAAUUUGUAGUUCACUAUAAUCUGAAGUAGAGAAGUCCUUGGAGAAAUCCAGUCUAAAACAAUGCCAAACCUCAGCACCGUAUUAGGAAACAAAUAUCUUUACGCUACAGACCAGUUGUUAUUCCAGAGUUGCUUCCUGGCUGAAGCACAACAUGCUUUGUUACUCCAUGCUCACCUGUGUGUAUACAACAGGUUUGGCUACAGAUGAAUGCAUAUAAAGAGUUGGAAGAGAUCACGUUCAGUGCUUUGUCCUUCGUUCUGGUGAGGUGCACUUCUGUUUCCCUACUGAGAGCUCCUAGGCACAUGGAAGCUGUAAGGCCAACCACCUAACCAUAGGAGGGAUGGGAUCGCUGGCAAACAACACAUCCUGCUUCACCUCAAGCACCCUCCACUCUCCAGAAGGUACUUUCCUGCACAUGGCUGAGGAGCUGCUGGAAGACUGAAGGGGCACUCUCUUCAGCUGUGGGGCUGCCCCACCCCCAGUGCUGCUCUUCUGGCACCCAGCUCCUCCCAUGCUCCUUGUGCAGCUGGUGGCCCAGGAAGGAGCCAGCAUUGCCUCAAAUGGAACAGAGAGCAUCAGGCUGUUUUCUCUUUAAAAGAAGAACAAAAAAAAAAAAACAAAAAAAAAACCAAAAACUAGGCUUUCCCCUUUGUUUCUGCCUUCCUGACUCCCUGGUUCAUGUCCUUCAUUAAGGCGUCUUUCUCAGUCAAGUUCUGCAAGGGCCUUCUAGCAAAAAAGAGUAAGUAUAUACACAUGCACAUCUAUCUAUCUAUAUAUUUGCACACACACACACUCUUCUAAUAUAUACACACAUAUAAAGAAUAAUGUUUACUCUCAUGCAUAAUACAGUAACAGUGCAAGUGUGUGGAGCAUGGCUGAUUUAUGUACCUAUGCACCGGCCACUCCCUUCAGAUACAGUUGCCAAGGUCCCAAAACAGGGCCUGUUUCCCCAUUGCCAUGGCAACAACAGGUGAGAAGCAGCAUUUCCUAUAAGGAAAGAAAGAGAUGCUGCCAGGCUGAGUAGAGGUCAGGAGCAGGCUGCUCCCUAUGCUCCCUAGGGCAGCCAUCACAUACUGGCUUUGUAGCAGCCAGCACUGUGACCUCACCAGCAGGACCUCAGGCACCAGUGCUCAAGGCUCCCCAGGCCUUGCCCAGUGCAGGCUGGAGGAAAGCAUAGCAGCUGCCUGGGGAGGCUGGCAGGGCUGCAGGGCCACCCCAUGAGGGGCAGGGACUGAGGGACCACAAGCAGCUGGCUUAUUGCCUCCCAUCUGCACUGCCUUCACCUGACCCACCUGGAGGAGCUUUGUGAUGUGGGAAGUGGCACACCUGAAAAAAAAAAAAAAAACAAACAACACAACCAAACAAAACCAAGCAAACAGUUGCCAAGCUUUUGAGCCUACUGGUCCUGGAGGCUGAGUAAGCCUGGUCUUUCUCUGUAAGAACUGGUUUCCUCCCUACCACUUUGGCAGCUAAGAUUAAUGCAUUUUAAACAGCACGUAGGUUCACUUGAGUUAUUUUUUACUUCCUCCUCUUACUUAUGAGAGAAAUCUGACCACAGUAACAGGAAAUUUAAAACAUCAUAUUAGCUUUGCUUUGAGGCACGUGCACAAACCUAAAGCCUGGGUAAAUAAUGAAUAAAAUCUCAGCCACUCUCUGUUAUUCCAACCCACUUCUGCAUCCUUGAGAGUCUGAUCAUCACUAUAACAGCAUUAAAACGAAACUGAUUGUGACUGGAUAUAAAUACCUGGUCUUAAACAUAAGCUUUUCUUCCUUAAGUGAACAUAUCUGGGUGUGGAUGAUCUGCUAUUAGUGGGCAAAAUGGGUGGUGAAGUGAGAAAAUGCAUUCUCACAGCUAUCUUAGACAUCACUGCAGAGAAAGCCUUCAUAAUAAGGUGUGGUAUACAGAAGAAUGUCCAAAGUAUGGCAGCUAUCUGAUGACUAAAAGCAUAUUACGUGCUCAAAGCAGAUCAGCAUCAACACACCGCCUGUUCCUGUCCAUCCUCCCUUAGAACUUGUUAGUGCUUCCACUGAGGUGCACAGAAGCUCAGCCCUUGCCCACAGGGAGCCCACCCAGAAGAGACAAAGUUAGCUUUGAACAACUUGGUACCAACAAAUUCAGCUGCGCAUUACAGAUCUAAGGGAAACCGAGCUUCAUUUUCUCCAUCACUUUGCAGAUUUGUUUGCUUGUUUCCCUUUCCAAGCAUCUGUAUUUAUUCCUUACUUAGUUAAGGACACUGCCUUGUUUUCUUGUCUCUUUCUCCAUGCUCUUCUAACCCUUCAAGGUCCUUCAGCAUCCUCCUGAUCUCCUGCAGCCCUGUCUCUUGCCUCCCAUGGGGCUCUUGCCAACAUUCUGCUCCAGUUUUGCUAGCAGUUGCUUUCUCCUUGGAUACAACUGUGCAUAGUUGAAACAACUCCUUUGUUAGGAAAGAACAACUGCAAUCUGCACUUCACUGCUGAAAACUAAUAGACUAUUUCUGUAAUACGUAAACUAAAAAAGACAUAAUAUCCUACAGAUUUGUGCCUCAUAGUUGGUAUAUCUCAUGUCUAACAGACACAAGCUCCAAGCAGAACUAGCUUCAGUUGCAGGAAACUCACAUUUGCUUUUUCCUAUGUGAAUUCUCUGGUAUAUAGAACUGGGGGGGUUUUACAUCAUAAUCCUUCUUCUCAGGGGAUGCUUUAACAGUGUCUAUCCCCUCCAUAUGCGUAAAGAAUCACUUAGGGAGUUCACAGUAUUUAAAUUAUACAUCAACCACAUCACUCUGGCUGGAGUUGGACAUGGAUUAAGAAGCUAGGCAGGGUGAAUCGAAAAGACAGACAGCCACUCACCUCAACUUUAUACUCUUCAGGAAGUCCAGUUGACAUCUAAGGCUGCAGGCUUGUCUAAUGUGCUCUAUAAUAACAAAAGCAAAACUUACCAGAGAUUGAUAAAGGGCCUGCAGUAAUGGCACUCUUAUGCUGAACCUUGCUGAUGCCAGUAUUGUUAGACUCUUUUCAAAAUGUAAGCUAUAUUGUUCUCAACUAUUAUGUAUAUUUUUCAGAAGCAAAAACAAAAGCAUGGUUUGUACUAGCACAAAAGGCAUCAAAAUCACUGCAAUUGUCUUCUGGUUAAAAUGGCCAGCUCUCAAUUCCAAAUGUUAUACUUUAUUGUGAACUUGAUGAAGAGAGAGAGGAAUUAAUUGUGAACUGGGCUCAUUGCAGGUUUAUCUUAAAAUUGUGAAAUUCAACAAAGUAAAUUACACAAGUUUAACAAAACUCAAAUUAAUACUUUUUUGCUACUACCUGGAUUCUGAGCCAUUGGCUUUUAGUCUUCCUUCCCCCCCCCCCCCCCCUUUUUUUCCCUUUGUAAUUACAAAAGCUAAGAAUUUGUCUUAAAUAAAAAGCUGAAAUUCCCAUAUAAUUCAAAGGCAGCAAUAGUCACAUUAAGAAUCAUAAAAGAUACCAACAGCAAAUUCCCAUCUACUUUAUAGAUGGCUUUGCCUAGUACAUUCUAAGAAGUCAGCCUUUUUAGUCAGUCUAAAUAUAGCAGCAGGGUCAAGAAUUACAAAGUGAUUUUUCUGAUCAAAGAUGUUUUAGAUGUUCCUGAAAAUAGAUUUCUUGAAACCACUUUUCUUUAGCAACAGACUUCAUGUACAACUUCUUUCUCAAACUGGGCACACAACUAAGAAUUGAUUCUUUAAUCAUUUCCAGAAACUUAAGUAUUAACAAUUUCAUCUUUGGCUUCUUUCAGAGAAAGCGUAGUCUCACAAAUCAGCUGUUUCUGGCUUCACUGAAUCCUAAUCAUGCCCUGCCUCCAACAUUUCAUAGCUGUAUUGCUGCAAUGCUCCUCUUCAAGAGGACCUUUUCCUCAUAUAUUUAAGUUCACUCCACAUCUUUGCCAAAUAGUGAUUUUCAGGAAACGCAGUCAGAGACAUUCUUUCAUUACAAAGGAGUUUUCACACAUGCUGAUUCGAUACAAAAGACAACCAACCUAAUCAAGCACUGCUGACGACUGAAAUUUCACCAAGCUACCUUGUGGUAUAAAUGCCAAACCUCAACAUAUAUGCAACUUCUUUCCCUGUAACUAUAGGACUCCUUAGAGGUAUUUUUAAGACACUGAAAUGCUAGAUCCCAAUUCCUUAGUGUUAGUUGAAAGUUUGAUCUACUUAAUUGCAAGCCAUGUCUUAACAGCAUCCAAACCACAGCCUCUUCAGUUAAUAAAGGCUAUUUCCUGAUUUCUACCCCAGUCCAUCAUCCUUCAAUCAUCUUUGUGAGAGAAUGGAAGAAUCCAAAUAAAUUAAUUAGAGGCAGUGUACUAUCUGCUAAUAGCCAUUGGCUGCACUGCAGACUGAGAAACAACUCUGAAACAGAGUUAGGAACUCGGUUGCCUGCUACAACUUAGACAAACUUCACCCCACAAACCAUACUUACCAGGAAU
Molecule: long non-coding RNA, 8705 nt
Organism: Gallus gallus (chicken)
Lineage: Eukaryota; Metazoa; Chordata; Aves; Galliformes; Phasianidae
Exons: 7
Source: RefSeq, a predicted model, not a curated record